Pelobates cultripes (western spadefoot toad) is the source of this 286-nucleotide non-coding RNA. NCBI's taxonomy places the organism in Eukaryota, Metazoa, Chordata, Amphibia, Anura, Pelobatidae. The record is from the annotation of a GenBank genome assembly.
GUUGAGCUUCUGCUGGUAGACAGAUGGCCUUAAGUUCUCCUGCAAAAUGUCUUGAUAAACUUGGGAAUAAAUUUUUCCUUUGAUGAUAGCAAUCCGUCCAGGCCCUGACGCAGCAAAGCAGCCCCAAACCAUGAUGCCCCCACCACCGUACAUCACAGUUGGGAUGAGGUUUUGAUGUUUGUGUGCUGUACCUUUUUUCGCCACACAUAGUGUUGUGUGUUUCUUCUAAACAACUCAACUUUGAUUUCAUCUGUCCACAGAAUAUUUUGCCAGUACUGCUGUCGAC